AGGUAUUUGAGUAUAUGGGGAUGUUUGCCAGACAUUCAAUGUCAGUAGCGUGAGAAAAACAAAAGGGGGACAAAUUCCCCCUUUUAUUGACUAACU
Pantoea sp. PSNIH2 is the source of this 96-nucleotide non-coding RNA. The record is from Rfam. NCBI's taxonomy places the organism in Bacteria, Pseudomonadati, Pseudomonadota, Gammaproteobacteria, Enterobacterales, Erwiniaceae.